Long non-coding RNA from Actinia tenebrosa (Australian red waratah sea anemone), 757 nucleotides. RefSeq lists it as uncharacterized. The record is from RefSeq and is a predicted model, not a curated record. NCBI's taxonomy places the organism in Eukaryota, Metazoa, Cnidaria, Anthozoa, Actiniaria, Actiniidae.
UUUACCCAUGACGUCCUACAGAUACCAGAUGAUAUGUACAGUGGCUUUACACAGCAUAUUACAAGAGACUGGUGACAUUCUAUGUCAUUUACCCAUGACGUCCUACAGAUAUCUACCAGAUGAUAUGUACUGUGGCUUAACACAAAGUAUUACAAGAGACUGGUGACAUUCUAUGUCAUUUACCCAUGACGUCUUGCAGAUAUCUACCAGAUGAUAUAUACUGUGGCUUUACACAGAGUAUUACAAGAGACUGUGGUGACAUUCUAUGUCAUUUACCCAUGACGUCCUACAGAUAUCUACCAGAUGAUAUGUACUGUGGCUUUACACAGAGUAUUGCAAGAGACUGUGGUGACAUUCUAUGUCAUUUACCUAUGACGUCCUGCAGAUAUCUACCAGAUGAUAUGUAAUGUGGCUUUACCCAGAGUAUUACAAGAGACUGUGGUGACAUUCUAUGUCAUUUACCCAUGACGUGUUACAUGAUAUACAGUACCUGAUGUGUGGACAUGCUGGGGAGCAUUAGCUUGUCUUGCAAACCAGCCACAUAACAAGAUAAAAAGGGCACUACUGACAGACAGUAAAACAGCUUGACUAGGAAACCAUUUAAAUUUGACGUGAGAUUAACACACCCAAGAAAUGGCCAGUGCAAACUGACAGGAAGGUCAAACAGAAUCACUCUGAUGCACAUCACAAGGAUAAGGUGAACAGGAGAGUUAAUAAAUAACAUAGCAAAAGCAAUAACAAAAAACAAAACAAAAAA